This is a long non-coding RNA of Cervus elaphus (red deer), 888 nucleotides long. RefSeq lists it as uncharacterized. The transcript has 3 exons. The record is from RefSeq and is a predicted model, not a curated record. NCBI's taxonomy places the organism in Eukaryota, Metazoa, Chordata, Mammalia, Artiodactyla, Cervidae.
ACAGACAGCAUGGAGAGCCAGCUGCUUGCCAGCCUGUGGGAGCCCGGAAGAAUGUCCAGAGCAGUGCACUUGUGUAGGGUUGCAAACCUUCAUCAGCUCUGGUUUCUAAUAUCUGCAUGUGUUUUUAUCACAUAGAAUGUGGAGGAAUGGGCCCAGGACCAAACUGGAGAUUUCAGAUGCCUCAUAGCACAACCUCAUAUUGCUGAACAGAACAUCCUGGUUGAAGAAAUAGUGUCCUGCCAGCCCCAUUUCACAGCAACCAACCUCAUAUGAGACAAUGUGCUCUGGAAAUGGAAGAAAAACAAGCACCACAGAGGUUGGUCCUGGAUUGCUGCGGCCAGCAAAGCAGCAGAAGAUAUGUUGAUCUCGCAACUUCUUUCUUCAUUAGUUCUCGGAGGGUUUUUCGUGUGCAUCUGAGGACUAAACAGAAGAUUAUAGUGAAACAGCAAAACAUAGCUAGUGUUCAGUGAGAUCACCUCCGAUGUCUUUGAUCCACUUGAGAGGACUCAAUGAGUUAAGGCCCUCUGUAUUCCUUGAAGUCUAUCUGCACCUGGUAAUGGUCUAAGAGAAGCAUGCUGCAUGCCAAUGAUUUUUGCCUGUAGCUUUUUAAUAUCUAGAGUAAAGUUGUCAGCCGUAUGGCCCUGCAAGUGCUGUCUAACCUUUUCCCAGGAGUGUUUAGAUUAGUUAUAUUCCUGGGCAUGUCACACAAAAAGUAGUAAUGUUCCAGUCACACUUUAAAUGUAUUUGUAAUUUAAGAUUUUGUACUUCUUCUCCUAAGAGUAGCACUGCAUUUUCUAAAUCCACCAACCUGUUGUUAAUCUCCUCAUCUAUAUGAGUUUGGGCUCCCCAGUAUACUCUGAGAUUUUUGUGUAUGUCUGGAGACAGUCU